UACGUAGGGUCCGAGCGUUGUCCGGAAUUAUUGGGCGUAAAGGGCUCGUAGGCGGUUUGUCGCGUCGGGAGUGAAAACUCAGGGCUCAACCCUGAGCGUGCUUCCGAUACGGGCAGACUUGGGUACUGCAGGGGAGACUGGAAUUCCUGGUGUAGCGGUGAAAUGCGCAGAUAUCAGGAGGAACACCGGUGGCGAAGGCGGGUCUCUGGGCCGAAACUGACGCUGAGGAGCGAAGCGUGGGAGCAAACAGG
This 251-nucleotide ribosomal RNA is filed under the name uncultured bacterium. RNAcentral's name for it is "partial 16S ribosomal RNA". It matches the Rfam family "Bacterial small subunit ribosomal RNA", at positions 524 to 776 of the family's 1533-position model. The record is from RNAcentral.